CCCUUAGAUGUUCUGGGCCGCGCGCGCGCUACACUGAUGCAUUCAACGAGUCUAAAACCUGCUCUGAUAGGGGUGGGUAAUCUUUUGAAUGUGCAUCGUGAUUGGGAUAGAUGAUUGCAAUUUUUCAUCUUCAACGAGGAAUGCCUAGUAAACGCAAGUCAUCAGCUUGCAUUGAUUACGUCCCUGCCCUUUGUACACACCGCCCGUCGCUCCUACCGAUUGAAUGAUCCGAUGAAUAUCAUGGAUUGAGGAUUAUAGCAGGUUCGCCUGUCUUGAUCUUCGAGAAGUGAAGUAAAUCUUAUCAUUUAGAGGAAGGAGAAGUCGUAACA
RNAcentral lists this ribosomal RNA (329 nucleotides) under uncultured eukaryote. RNAcentral describes it as "partial 18S ribosomal RNA". It matches the Rfam family "Eukaryotic small subunit ribosomal RNA", at positions 1470 to 1796 of the family's 1831-position model. The record is from RNAcentral.